GGUUAAGUGACUAAGCGUACACGGUGGAUGCCUUGGCAGUCAGAGGCGAUGAAAGACGUAGUAACUUGCGAUAAGCCCAGAUUAGGUAGUAACAACCAUUUGAGUCUGGGAUUUCUGAAUGGGGAAACCCACUUACAUAAGUAAGUAUCAUUAACUGAAUACAUAGGUUAAUGAGGCGAACCGGGGGAACUGAAACAUCUAAGUACCCCGAGGAAAAGAAAUCAACCGAGAUUCCGAAAGUAGCGGCGAGCGAAAUUGGACUAGCCCUUAAGCUUUACACGCGUUAGACGAACGGUCUGGAAAGUCCGACGAUACAGGGUGAUAGUCCCGUAGUUGACGACGUGUGUUCAGUGAAAUCGAGUAGGGCGGGACACGUGAUAUCCUGUCUGAAUAUGGGGGGACCAUCCUCCAAGGCUAAAUACUACUGACUGACCGAUAGUGAACCAGUACCGUGAGGGAAAGGCGAAAAGAACCCCUGUGAGGGGAGUGAAAUAGAACCUGAAACCGUGUACGUACAAGCAGUAGGAGCAGGCUUUGUCCUGUGACUGCGUACCUUUUGUAUAAUGGGUCAGCGACUUAUAUUCAGUGGCAAGGUUAACCAUCUAGGGGAGCCGUAGGGAAACCGAGUCUUAACUGGGCGUUCAG
RNAcentral lists this ribosomal RNA (645 nucleotides) under Vibrio parahaemolyticus. RNAcentral's name for it is "partial 23S ribosomal RNA". It matches the Rfam family "Bacterial large subunit ribosomal RNA", at positions 1 to 699 of the family's 2925-position model. Lineage: Bacteria; Pseudomonadati; Pseudomonadota; Gammaproteobacteria; Vibrionales; Vibrionaceae. The record is from RNAcentral.